CACGUAGGGGGCAAGCGUUGUCCGGAUUUAUUGGGCGUAAAGAGCUCGUAGGCGGUUUCGUAAGUCGGAUGUGAAAACUCCAGGCUCAACUUGGAGACGCCAUUCGAUACUGCGAUGACUUGAGUCCGGUAGGGGAGUGUGGAAUUCCUGGUGUAGCGGUGAAAUGCGCAGAUAUCUGGAGGAACACCGGUGGCGAAGGCGGCAUCCUGGACCAACACUGACGCUGAGUGAGCGAAAGCCAGGGGAGCAAACGGG
This 255-nucleotide ribosomal RNA is filed under the name uncultured bacterium. RNAcentral describes it as "partial 16S ribosomal RNA". It matches the Rfam family "Bacterial small subunit ribosomal RNA", at positions 524 to 776 of the family's 1533-position model. The record is from RNAcentral.